GACGUAGGGGGCAAGCGUUGUUCGGAAUUAUUGGGCGUAAAGCGCUCGUAGGCGGGACAGGAAGUUCGUGUUGAAAGACCUCGGCUCAACUGAGGGACCGGCUCGAAUACUCUUGUUCUUGAGGCAAUCAGAGGGUGAUGGAAUUCCUGGUGUAGCGGUGAAAUGCGCAGAUAUCAGGAGGAACACCGAUGGCGAAGGCAGUGGGCUGGGCCGGCACUGACGCUGAGGAGCGAAAGCGUUGGGAGCGAACAGG
RNAcentral lists this ribosomal RNA (253 nucleotides) under uncultured bacterium. Its description in RNAcentral is "partial 16S ribosomal RNA". It matches the Rfam family "Bacterial small subunit ribosomal RNA", at positions 524 to 776 of the family's 1533-position model. The record is from RNAcentral.